CAGUCAUACCAACGGGAAAUCAACCUUUUGAGCUCGGUCUCGUGGGUUUUGAAGAGUUUCAAAGCCUUCGGAUUCGCGGGAUUGGGAUCUCUCGGUGUACUUUUUCGUACGGUUAGUCAACAUCGGUUUUGAAUGUCAUAAAAUGACUGGAGGAACGUAGCUUCGAUCUCGUAUUGAAGUGUUAUAGCCUUUGGUAGAUGUGAUGUUUGAGACCGAGGAUUGCAACGGAUACCCUUCAGGGCUAUUCGUCUGAUCUCUGAUACGUUGCCUUGAUGUUGAAAGCUUGCUUAUGAUGUUAGGGUAUUACGGUCAAAAGGUUAGAACGAAUUACA
RNAcentral lists this ribosomal RNA (332 nucleotides) under uncultured Glomeromycotina. Its description in RNAcentral is "eukaryotic LSU rRNA". Lineage: Eukaryota; Fungi; Glomeromycota. The record is from RNAcentral.